This 425-nucleotide ribosomal RNA is filed under the name uncultured bacterium. RNAcentral describes it as "partial 16S ribosomal RNA". It matches the Rfam family "Bacterial small subunit ribosomal RNA", at positions 354 to 796 of the family's 1533-position model. The record is from RNAcentral.
GUGGGGAAUAUUGGACAAUGGGCGAAAGCCUGAUCCAGCCAUGCCGCGUGAGUGAUGAAGGCCUUAGGGUUGUAAAGCUCUUUCAGUAGGGAAGAUAAUGACGGUACCUACAGAAGAAGCCCCGGCUAACUUCGUGCCAGCAGCCGCGGUAAUACGAAGGGGGCUAGCGUUGUUCGGAUUUACUGGGCGUAAAGCGCACGUAGGCGGAUUGGUCAGUUAGAGGUGAAAUCCUGGAGCUCAACUCCAGAACUGCCUUUAAUACUGCCAGUCUAGAGUCCAGAAGAGGUGAGUGGAACUCCUAGUGUAGAGGUGGAAUUCGUAGAUAUUAGGAAGAACACCAGUGGCGAAGGCGACUUUCUGGACGAAAACUGACGCUGAGGCGCGAAAGCCAGGGGAGCGAACGGGAUUAGAAACCCUGGUAGUCC